This 253-nucleotide ribosomal RNA is filed under the name uncultured bacterium. RNAcentral describes it as "partial 16S ribosomal RNA". It matches the Rfam family "Bacterial small subunit ribosomal RNA", at positions 524 to 776 of the family's 1533-position model. The record is from RNAcentral.
UACGGAGGGUGCAAGCGUUAAUCGGAAUUACUGGGCGUAAAGCGCAUGCAGGCGGUCUGUUAAGCAAGAUGUGAAAGCCCGGGGCUCAACCUCGGAAUAGCAUUUGAAACUGGCAGACUAGAGUACUGUAGAGGGGGGUAGAAUUUCAGGUGUAGCGGUGAAAUGCGUAGAGAUCUGAAGGAAUACCAGUGGCGAAGGCGGCCCCCUGGACAAAGACUGACGCUCAGAUGCGAAAGCGUGGGGAGCGAACAGG